This is a long non-coding RNA of Odocoileus virginianus texanus, 711 nucleotides long. RefSeq lists it as uncharacterized. The record is from RefSeq and is a predicted model, not a curated record. Lineage: Eukaryota; Metazoa; Chordata; Mammalia; Artiodactyla; Cervidae.
AGUCAGACACGACUGAGCGACUUCACUUUCUUUCACUUUCGGUGCUGCUUGAAACGCUUCAGUAAAAUAUUGAAGACAGGAAAAAUUCCUGCUCAAUUAAUAAAAGUCUUCAGAACAUGAGUUUAGAAGUGCAGCCCUGGUGAGGAGAUAGUUCCACCAUCUGGAGAGACCAAACUCAGCUAUCUCCUUUCUACCCCAUGCCCUCUUGAGGCCAAAAGAUUUUCUGCAGCAUCCUCUGUUUUCCAGCAAUUACAAAGGAAUCACAGCUGUAUUUUUAAUGCUCCUGACCCGCAGGGAGCCAUUGUCAUGUCGGAUUAAGAGCUUUCUCCCUUUCUCCAUUAAAAAGAAAAAAAGACCGUCCUUAGGCUGGCUUCAUGGGCUUGUGACUUGUGCAGGGGCAGAAGGCUUCUCACUCAGCAGGGCACCACACUUGGUUCUGCGAGUGCCGUCCUGAAAUUCUCAAACAUUUUGUCUUUGAACUUGUAAAUUAAGUUUCUAGGACAGUGGCACGUGCGUGUGAACAGAAGUGUGAUGUACAACAUGUGUUUGCCUUCUUUCCCCGUAACCCCAUUCCAUUCAUGUAGUGUUCACAGUGCUGUGUGAGCACAGAAUUCCUACAGACCCCUGAUGUAUAGGCGUUCAAUGAGACUUAAAGCAAGUACAUGGUAAGUGAAUUACAUUUAUUAUGACUAAUUAAGUGGGAAUAACAGC